UACACACAGAACAGCAGCUGAUCAUUAAUUAACGUCGUUAUCUGACACAUCGUUCAUGUGGGCCGAUGAUGAGGUGUGAUGAUGAGGUGUGAUGUCAUCGUUUGUUUCUACGUUUGCUGGAUUAAAUAAAUGAAUCAAAGUGUUCAUCAGCUUUAAACUGCUGGGAGACUGAGCCAGACUUUGUGCUAAGCUAGGCUAACACCAUCCUGACUCCUUCUCCUCCUCCUUCUCCUCCUUUCUGUCCCUAAAUAUUUGUUUUGCUCUCCGUCUCCCUCCCUCUCUUUUCUUUCUGGUUCUGGUGUCAGGUAGGAGUCGCAUCGAGCUGGUUUGAGUUUCUGAGUUUGUGUUCAGCCGGCAGAAAACGGUUUAACGGCACAGGUGUCUGGAUGGAAACACACACUUUCACACGUGUGUGUGUGUGUGUGUGUGUGUGUGUGUGUGUGUGUGUGUGUUUGUGUGUGUGUGUGUGUUUGUGUGUGUGUGUGUGUGUGUGAGCCAGCUGUGUAAACCUGUUGUGAGUCCGUCUCCAUCUGUCUUUAUUUAAAGGUGCAACACAAUGAAGCUUAAUGAGUGAACAUGUUGGAGCGCCUGCAGCAGCUGUUAGCAUGUUAGCAUGUUAGCCGUCAGUUCUCUCUGCUGUGGUGACAGCGGAGCCGCUUUAUCUCCGGAUCACAACAGAAGCAUUAUUUCUGUGUGACUUCAGGUCAGAAGUUCCUCUUUCUGUGACACUGGUCUGUUGUCGCAGCUCGCUGACGGCACAGAGCGUCUCUGUUCUGUUCUGUUCUGUUCUGUUCUGAGGAGCUGGUGUUUCUUUAUGUUCGGGCCUUUUGGUGCAGAGUUUGUGUUUCGUUGCUCUCUCCUCCUGAGGUGUUCACAGUUUCUCUCACUGUACAGUGUAAUGAAAUGUAAAUUGUAAAACACAUUGAUGCUCACAGAUACCGAGCUGGAGACGAGUCCCUGAAGAGAAGAUAGCAAUGCAGUAAAACUACAAAUAUUAAUAUCUAUGUAAGAAUAUUGUUACAGGGUAUUAUUCAAUUAUUGUCAUUCUUUAAAAGUCUGCAGAGUCUCUGAAACUCAGCUUUGGUUCUGAAAUCCUCACUCCGUCUGCAUGUGAGGACCAGACGUGAUCAUUAAAGUUAACGUUGGUGGAAUAUUUUAGGUUUUAAGAACUAAAAAUAGUCUUUUUAUGCU
Molecule: long non-coding RNA, 1191 nt
Filed under: Sparus aurata (gilthead seabream)
Lineage: Eukaryota; Metazoa; Chordata; Actinopteri; Spariformes; Sparidae
Description: lncRNA (ENSSAUG00010002883.1)
Source: RNAcentral